AUGAUGAAGGGCUCUUCCGGAGGGCCCCCCCCAAUCCUGUUGUGCCUGAUUCAGAGGGUUGGGUGGAGGCUUUCCUGAAGGGCUCUGGGGAGCGCUUCACCCUCAGGCUG
RNAcentral lists this microRNA precursor (110 nucleotides) under Mustela putorius furo (domestic ferret). RNAcentral's name for it is "miRNA (ENSMPUG00000023212.1)". The stretch from base 8 to 85 matches the Rfam family "mir-296 microRNA precursor family". The record is from RNAcentral. Lineage: Eukaryota; Metazoa; Chordata; Mammalia; Carnivora; Mustelidae.